Eumeta japonica is the source of this 74-nucleotide non-coding RNA. Lineage: Eukaryota; Metazoa; Arthropoda; Insecta; Lepidoptera; Psychidae. The record is from the annotation of a GenBank genome assembly.
GACUCGUUAGCUCAGUAGGUUAGAGCGUUGGUAUUAAACACCAAAGGGCGGAGGUUCAAAUCCUUCACGAGUCA